Molecule: ribosomal RNA, 392 nt
Filed under: uncultured bacterium
Lineage: Bacteria
Description: bacterial SSU rRNA
Rfam family: Bacterial small subunit ribosomal RNA
Source: RNAcentral
GACGAACGCUGGCGGCACGCUUAACACAUGCAAGUCGAACGAAGAUGUUUCACCGUAGCUUGCUACACCGAGACAUUUUAGUGGCGGACGGGUGAGUAACACGUGAGCAAUCUGCCUUUCAGAGGGGGAUACCAGUUGGAAACGACUGUUAAUACCGCAUAACAUAUCGAGAUCGCAUGAUAUUGAUAUCAAAGAUUUAUCGCUGAAAGAUGAGCUCGCGUCUGAUUAGAUAGUUGGUGAGGUAACGGCUCACCAAGUCGACGAUCAGUAGCCGGACUGAGAGGUUGGACGGCCGACAUUGGGACUGAGACACGGCCCAGACUCCUACGGGAGGCAGCAGUGGGGAAGUAUUGCACAAUGGGCGGCAAGCCUGAUGCAGCGAUGCCGCGUGA